Molecule: long non-coding RNA, 1358 nt
Organism: Aedes aegypti (yellow fever mosquito)
Lineage: Eukaryota; Metazoa; Arthropoda; Insecta; Diptera; Culicidae
Exons: 2
Source: RefSeq, a predicted model, not a curated record
UGUUGCUGAUUUUAUUGUUAAGGGCCUUGCGUGAAUUAAACAAGUCGUUUUCAUGUAUUGUAACCAGUGGUGUGUUGAAGUGUCCAAGAUUUGUGAGACUAUCGUGAUUUUGUGUAUCGUUUUAUUGUCAAAUAAAUAAUACCAAGAAAAUAUUAAAUUAUAUAAAACUGGACAUUUCCCAACUCCCACUGUGAAGAACGCAGCCACAUCAUUAGUUCCGCUACUCACCACCAGGCGUCACAGGAGCAUAAGGAUGGGCGGCCAUUGUGGGUGGUGUAAAGGGGGCCAUGAUGGGGCGAAUAUGGAUGGGCGGAAAAAUGCUUCAACGGUCGCGAUCGUCGAUAUGUAACCGCCAUCGCAAAAAUUAUUAAGACUGCAGCAUUCGAAAGAAUACGACGCUAGUUGCUAAAAGCCAAAAAGUUAAAGUGAAAUUUAAAAUAAGUUGUGGAAAGUGGAAGAAGCGACAUUGGAAUUACAUCCAGGACCCCGUAGUUCACCGUAGUUCACCGGUAGUUUACCCAUUGUUCUACGUCGGAGUAACCGAGCACUACAUCCUGCACCUGAGCCUGUAUUGGCCAAAGUACCGCCGGAAGCACGCCGUGGUCAUUGCCAUACCUCGGAGUAGGCCCAGAGUCCACUAACGUGCCACUCCGAAGGCUACCACCGCGAUUCGAUAGGCGUCACCUAGAGGCGGCCAUUUUGUUAACGGCCUGAGGCGUGAAGUGCGAAGUGCCAGCCGGUCGUCCACCCUGAACUCGGAAAAGGAAGCAGAAGUGCUGUGCGGAGGAGUGAAGGUUCCACCGGCCGUGUCCUGCCGGAACUAACGCGAGAAGGAGCGAAACGUAGUCCAGGAAGGAAAGACGGUGGAGUAGCGGAGCGUGAAGAAGGGGCCCCGCCAAUAGUGAAGAAGAAGGGAAUAAGUGAGGUAGGAGAUAGCCUUUAAGAAAGUGGGAGAAAUAAAGGUACCUGAUUGUGCGAAGUAUUGAAUAAAGUGGGUUUGUGUCCAGCAAAGGUAAUCUAGUGUGUUCUUGGUCGCGAUAGUUAAGCGCGUACGCCGACCCUGAGGCAAUUGAGGAGAGGGGAGUCUCACCAGUGCUGGGCAGGGAUCGCCCCAUUAGUUACACUUGGCGCCCAACUGAAAUUUGCGUAGACUAUCAGAGCCUGGGUACACUAGAAUACCGAUUGCGUGUCUUUGCGGAAGUCUCUGGUAACAUCCAGACUUCGCUGACGAACUUAACCAAAGCACAUAAAACAGGUAACCGAUUGAUGAAUGGGAAUCAAUACAAUUUAUUCUUAAAGAGGGGUCUUGGAUGUGAGUAAACGGUCUGACUAGCUACCAACCAUUGAACAAAACUUAA